GGGCGCGUAGAUCAGUCUGGUAGAUCGCGUCUCUGGCAGGGAUGAGGCCUCGGGUUCAAAUCCCGACGCGUCCA
This 74-nucleotide transfer RNA is filed under the name Candidatus Woesearchaeota archaeon. Its description in RNAcentral is "tRNA-Ala". It matches the Rfam family "tRNA". From Rfam's summary of the family: Transfer RNA (tRNA) molecules are approximately 80 nucleotides in length. Their secondary structure includes four short double-helical elements and three loops (D, anti-codon, and T loops). Lineage: Archaea; Nanobdellati; Candidatus Woesearchaeota. The record is from RNAcentral.